AAUUAUGCUACACAGAUCGCGGGCGGCGUCCGUCAUACAUGCAAGUCGAACGAUUCUUUUUCCACCGGAGCUUGCUCCACCGGAAAAAGAGGAGUGGCGAACGGGUGAGUAACACGUGGGUAACUGCCCAUCAGAAGGGGAUAACACUUGGAAACAGGUGCUAAUACCGUAUAACAAUCGAAACCGCAUGGUUUUAAUUUGAAAGGCGCUUUCGGGUGUCGUUGAUGGAUGGACCCGCGGUGCAUUAGCUAGUUGGUGAGGUAACGGCUCACCAAGGCGACGAUGCAUAGCCGACCUGAGAGGGUGAUCGGCCACAUUGGGAUUGAGACACGGCCCAAAUUCUUACGGGAGGCAGCAGUAGGGAAUCUUCGGCAAUGGACGAAAGUCUGACCGAGCAACGCCGCGUGAGUGAAGAAGGUUUUCGGAUCGUAAAAUUCUGUUGUUAGAGAAGAACAAGGAUGAGAGUAACUGUUCAUCCCUUGACGGUAUCUAACCAGAAAGCCACGGCUAACUACGUGCCAGCAGCCGCGGUAAUACGUAGGUGGCAAGCGUUGUCCGGAUUUAUUGGGCGUAAAGCGAGCGCAGGCGGUUUCUUAAGUCUGAUGUGAAAGCCCCCGGCUCAACCGGGGAGGGUCAUUGGAAACUGGGAGACUUGAGUGCAGAAGAGGAGAGUGGAAUUCCAUGUGUAGCGGUGAAAUGCGUAGAUAUAUGGAGGAACACCAGUGGCGAAGGCGGCUCUCUGGUCUGUAACUGACGCUGAGGCUCGAAAGCGUGGGGAGCAAACAGGAUUAGAUACCCUGGUAGUCCACGCCGUAAACGAUGAGUGCUAAGUGUUGGAGGGUUUCCGCCCUUCAGUGCUGCAAGCUAACGCCAUUAAAG
RNAcentral lists this ribosomal RNA (879 nucleotides) under Enterococcus thailandicus. Its description in RNAcentral is "bacterial SSU rRNA". It matches the Rfam family "Bacterial small subunit ribosomal RNA", at positions 1 to 864 of the family's 1533-position model. Lineage: Bacteria; Bacillati; Bacillota; Bacilli; Lactobacillales; Enterococcaceae. The record is from RNAcentral.